GAGUUUGAUCGUGGCUCAGAUUGAACGCUGGCGGCAAUGCCUUACACAUCGACAAGUCGAACGGCGAGCGACGGGAGCUUGCUCCUGGUGGGCGAGUGGCGAACGGGUGAGUAAUGCAUCGGAACGUAUCCUGGAGUGGGGGAUAACGUAGCGAAAGUUACGCUAAUACCGCAUAUUCUGUGAGCAGGAAAGCGGGGGACCUUCGGGCCUCGCGCUCUUGGAGCGGCCGAUGUCGGAUUAGCUAGUUGGUGAGGUAAAGGCUCACCAAGGCGACGAUCCGUAGCAGGUCUGAGAGGAUGAUCUGCCACACUGGAACUGAGACACGGUCCAGACUCC
RNAcentral lists this ribosomal RNA (336 nucleotides) under bacterium enrichment culture clone ALO1_GLFRUDD03HBQ04. Its description in RNAcentral is "bacterial SSU rRNA". It matches the Rfam family "Bacterial small subunit ribosomal RNA", at positions 9 to 339 of the family's 1533-position model. The record is from RNAcentral.